RNAcentral lists this non-coding RNA (20 nucleotides) under Arabidopsis thaliana (thale cress). The record is from RNAcentral. Lineage: Eukaryota; Viridiplantae; Streptophyta; Magnoliopsida; Brassicales; Brassicaceae. RNAcentral also lists the same sequence under 1 other name.
CCGCCUUGCAUCAACUGAAU